Molecule: ribosomal RNA, 497 nt
Filed under: uncultured bacterium
Lineage: Bacteria
Description: partial 16S ribosomal RNA
Rfam family: Bacterial small subunit ribosomal RNA
Source: RNAcentral
GAUGAACGCUGGCGGCGUGCCUAAUACAUGCAAGUCGAGCGAACAGAUGAGGAGCUUGCUCCUCUGACGUUAGCGGCGGACGGGUGAGUAACACGUGGAUAACCUACCUAUAAGACUGGGAUAACUUCGGGAAACCGGAGCUAAUACCGGAUAAUAUAUUGAACCGCAUGGUUCAAUAGUGAAAGACGGUUUUGCUGUCACUUAUAGAUGGAUCCGCGCCGCAUUAGCUAGUUGGUAAGGUAACGGCUUACCAAGGCAACGAGGCGUAGCCGACCUGAGAGGGUGAUCGGCCACACUGGAACUGAGACACGGUCCAGACUCCUACGGGAGGCAGCAGUAGGGAAUCUUCCGCAAUGGGCGAAAGCUUGACGGAGCAACGCCGCGUGAGUGAUGAAGGUCUUCGGAUCGUAAAACUCUGUUAUUAGGGAAGAACAAAUGUGUAAGUAACUAUGCACGUCUUGACGGUACCUAAUCAGAAAGCCACGGCUAACUACGUG